Molecule: ribosomal RNA, 250 nt
Filed under: uncultured prokaryote
Description: partial 16S ribosomal RNA
Rfam family: Bacterial small subunit ribosomal RNA
Source: RNAcentral
UACGUAGGGAGCGAGCGUUAUCCGGAUUUAUUGGGCGUAAAGCGUGCGUAGGCGGUUUAUUAAGUUUAAGAUGAAAGGCUGGGGCUCAACUCCAGUUUGUCUUAAAAACUGGUAGGCUUGAGUAUGGCAGAGGUAAAUGGAAUUUCUAGUGUAGCGGUGGAAUGCGUAGAUAUUAGAAGGAACACCAGUGGCGAAAGCGAUUUACUAGGCCAAAACUGACGCUGAGGCACGAAAGCGUGGGGAGCAAAUA